ACCCUCCAGACUUUUUAAGCAUCCAACCCAAACACUGGUCCGAGUGGUUACAAAAGGAGGAAAAGGAAAACUGAACUGGAUUUAACUUCUUUGGUGCUACACAAGUUCGUUUCAAACAGCA
Molecule: small nucleolar RNA, 121 nt
Filed under: Echinops telfairi (small Madagascar hedgehog)
Lineage: Eukaryota; Metazoa; Chordata; Mammalia; Afrosoricida; Tenrecidae
Description: Small nucleolar RNA SNORA61 (ENSETEG00000024253.1)
Source: RNAcentral